Molecule: ribosomal RNA, 1315 nt
Filed under: Escherichia coli
Lineage: Bacteria; Pseudomonadati; Pseudomonadota; Gammaproteobacteria; Enterobacterales; Enterobacteriaceae
Description: partial 23S ribosomal RNA
Rfam family: Bacterial large subunit ribosomal RNA
Source: RNAcentral
GGAAAGGCGCGCGAUACAGGGUGACAGCCCCGUACACAAAAAUGCACAUGCUGUGAGCUCGAUGAGUAGGGCGGGACACGUGGUAUCCUGUCUGAAUAUGGGGGGACCAUCCUCCAAGGCUAAAUACUCCUGACUGACCGAUAGUGAACCAGUACCGUGAGGGAAAGGCGAAAAGAACCCCGGCGAGGGGAGUGAAAAAGAACCUGAAACCGUGUACGUACAAGCAGUGGGAGCACGCUUAGGCGUGUGACUGCGUACCUUUUGUAUAAUGGGUCAGCGACUUAUAUUCUGUAGCAAGGUUAACCGAAUAGGGGAGCCGAAGGGAAACCGAGUCUUAACUGGGCGUUAAGUUGCAGGGUAUAGACCCGAAACCCGGUGAUCUAGCCAUGGGCAGGUUGAAGGUUGGGUAACACUAACUGGAGGACCGAACCGACUAAUGUUGAAAAAUUAGCGGAUGACUUGUGGCUGGGGGUGAAAGGCCAAUCAAACCGGGAGAUAGCUGGUUCUCCCCGAAAGCUAUUUAGGUAGCGCCUCGUGAAUUCAUCUCCGGGGGUAGAGCACUGUUUCGGCAAGGGGGUCAUCCCGACUUACCAACCCGAUGCAAACUGCGAAUACCGGAGAAUGUUAUCACGGGAGACACACGGCGGGUGCUAACGUCCGUCGUGAAGAGGGAAACAACCCAGACCGCCAGCUAAGGUCCCAAAGUCAUGGUUAAGUGGGAAACGAUGUGGGAAGGCCCAGACAGCCAGGAUGUUGGCUUAGAAGCAGCCAUCAUUUAAAGAAAGCGUAAUAGCUCACUGGUCGAGUCGGCCUGCGCGGAAGAUGUAACGGGGCUAAACCAUGCACCGAAGCUGCGGCAGCGACGCUGAUGCGUUGUUGGGUAGGGGAGCGUUCUGUAAGCCUGCGAAGGUGUGCUGUGAGGCAUGCUGGAGGUAUCAGAAGUGCGAAUGCUGACAUAAGUAACGAUAAAGCGGGUGAAAAGCCCGCUCGCCGGAAGACCAAGGGUUCCUGUCCAACGUUAAUCGGGGCAGGGUGAGUCGACCCCUAAGGCGAGGCCGAAAGGCGUAGUCGAUGGGAAACAGGUUAAUAUUCCUGUACUUGGUGUUACUGCGAAGGGGGGACGGAGAAGGCUAUGUUGGCCGGGCGACGGUUGUCCCGGUUUAAGCGUGUAGGCUGGUUUUCCAGGCAAAUCCGGAAAAUCAAGGCUGAGGCGUGAUGACGAGGCACUGCGGUGCUGAAGCAACAAAUGCCCUGCUUCCAGGAAAAGCCUCUAAGCAUCAGGUAACAUCAAAUCGUACCCCAAACCGACACAGGU